UGGGGGGUGGUUGGGGGUCCCUCAGCCUGGAUUGCGAGAGGGCACAGGCCAGGCCGAGGGACCCCACUGGUGCACG
This 76-nucleotide microRNA precursor is filed under the name Myotis davidii. RNAcentral's name for it is "mir-9193 microRNA precursor family". It matches the Rfam family "mir-9193 microRNA precursor family". Lineage: Eukaryota; Metazoa; Chordata; Mammalia; Chiroptera; Vespertilionidae. The record is from Rfam by way of RNAcentral.